RNAcentral lists this ribosomal RNA (253 nucleotides) under uncultured bacterium. RNAcentral's name for it is "partial 16S ribosomal RNA". It matches the Rfam family "Bacterial small subunit ribosomal RNA", at positions 524 to 776 of the family's 1533-position model. The record is from RNAcentral.
UACAGAGGUGCCGAGCGUUAGGCGGAAUCACUGGGCUUAAAGCGUGUGUAGGCGGAUCGUUAAGUACCUUGUGAAAUCCCACGGCUCAACCGUGGAACUGCUGGGUAUACUGGCGGUCUUGAGCCACCUAGGGGCGAGCGGAACAAGCGGUGGAGCGGUGAAAUGCGUAGAUAUCGCUUGGAACGCCAACGGUGAAAACAGCUCGCUGGGGGUGUGCUGACGCUGAGACACGAAAGCCAGGGGAGCGAACGGG